UGACCGUGCGAAGGUAGCAUAAUCAUUAGUCUUUUAAUUGAAGGCUUGUAUGAAUGGUUGGACGAGAAGUAAUCUGUCUCUGUUGAAAAAAUUGAAUUUAACUUUUGAGUGAGAAGGCUUAAAUGACCUAGAGGGACGAUAAGACCCUAUAAAGUUUAAUAUUACAGCAAUAGAAAAUUAAUUAGGUUAUAAGAUUUGUUAUUGUAGGUAGUAUUUUGUUGGGGCGACAAGAAUAUAAAUAAUUUAACUGUUCUUUUUUGUAUCAAAGAUAUUUGAGUUGAUGAUCUUUUUAAGAGUAAUAGAGUAAAUUACUUUAGGGAUAACAGCGUAAUUUUUUUUGAGAGUUCUUAUCGAUAAAAGAGUUUGCGACCUCGAUGUUGAAUUAAAGAUUCUUUAUAGUGCAGAAGCUAUACAAGAAGGUCUGUUCGACCUUUAAAUCUUUACAUGAUUUGAGUUCAGACCGGUGUGAGCCAGGUGGUUUCUAUCUA
Molecule: ribosomal RNA, 488 nt
Filed under: Euastacus yanga
Lineage: Eukaryota; Metazoa; Arthropoda; Malacostraca; Decapoda; Parastacidae
Description: partial 16S ribosomal RNA
Rfam family: Archaeal large subunit ribosomal RNA
Source: RNAcentral